This 251-nucleotide ribosomal RNA is filed under the name uncultured bacterium. RNAcentral's name for it is "partial 16S ribosomal RNA". It matches the Rfam family "Bacterial small subunit ribosomal RNA", at positions 82 to 334 of the family's 1533-position model. The record is from RNAcentral.
CCAAAGCUGGCGACCGGCGCACGGGUGAGUAACACGUAUCCAACCUGCCGAUAACUCGGGGAUAGCCUUUCGAAAGAAAGAUUAAUACCCGAUGGUAUAAUCAGACCGCAUGGUUUGAUUAUUAAAGAAUUUCGGUUAUCGAUGGGGAUGCGUUCCAUUAGGCAGUUGGUGAGGUAACGGCUCACCAAACCUUCGAUGGAUAGGGGUUCUGAGAGGAAGGUCCCCCACAUUGGAACUGAGACACGGUCCAA